Long non-coding RNA from Strigops habroptila (Kakapo), 225 nucleotides. RefSeq lists it as uncharacterized. The record is from RefSeq and is a predicted model, not a curated record. The transcript has 3 exons. Lineage: Eukaryota; Metazoa; Chordata; Aves; Psittaciformes; Psittacidae.
ACCUGGAAAAAACAAAAUUCUGAAUUGCAUUGUGUAUUGAUCUGUUUUCUCCUUACAUGAUGUGACCUGAAACAACUGCAAAGAAGCCAGGAAUGCUACACAUACAGGGCAGAAAGUGAAACAGCAAGGGCUUGCUAUUGAAUUCUUCUAAGGUCCUCUGACUCAGCAGAGAGAGAAGAGAUAAAUGUGUAGAAGACAACCAACAGAUAACAGGAAUUGAAGGAC